Gasterosteus aculeatus aculeatus (three-spined stickleback) is the source of this 742-nucleotide long non-coding RNA. Lineage: Eukaryota; Metazoa; Chordata; Actinopteri; Perciformes; Gasterosteidae. The record is from Ensembl.
ACUGUGUAACACACACGAUCGCCAGCUUCCCCAGGCAGGAAAAACCGGUCACAUGACGCUCAAGCUUUCUGAUUGGCUCAAAAAACACCUGCCAGACUCCUGAGGCGGUUUCAUCUGUCACACCUGAAGCAGGAGGUGAAGCGGCUCGGGGACUUUCCUCACUGCAGAAACAGCAGAUUAAAUCCAUAAUUCCCGUGAGAAGCGGCAGAGGUAAGACGUCGUCUCCAGUGGCCAGUAUGACAAAUUGCGAAGUGAGAUAUGAAGGUUGAGAUGAAGUAACAGACAGUUCCUUUGUUCCAGCGUUUGUGUGAGAGCAAGUUGACUCGCCCUCCUUUCUUUAGACUCCGCUGCAAUGGAAACGUUGGGUCAUUCUGCUUUUCACACGUCAAGCUUCAAUAUAGACAAUCUUAUGCUAAAAGUGAUCAUUAUGUUCUAACAUAUUUGACCAUGACACAUGUCAUGUGAUACUGGACUGUUUUACUGACUUCUGGACUCUGAAGGAGAUGAAGAGGAGAAACAGCACAGCUCCAUCUGCUGGAAGAUGAGCGCUAAUGUUCAUCUUUUAAAUCAUUACAUGUCAUUUAGCUGACGCUUUUAUCCAAAGCCACUUACAAUAAGAGCGUUUCAACCAUAAGGACACAAACCCAGAAGAACAAGAAACAACAAAGUGCACUUUCAUCAAAUAAGCCGCUUUACAACUUGCUGUAGAUAAGAACCAUUAUAAGUCCAAUGUAAGUGCUCC